This 301-nucleotide ribosomal RNA is filed under the name uncultured bacterium. Its description in RNAcentral is "partial 16S ribosomal RNA". It matches the Rfam family "Bacterial small subunit ribosomal RNA", at positions 509 to 809 of the family's 1533-position model. The record is from RNAcentral.
CAGCAGCCGCGGUAAUACGUAGGGAGCAAGCGUUGUUCGGAUUUACUGGGCGUAAAGGGCGCGUAGGCGGCGCGGUAAGUCACUUGUGAAAUCUCUGAGCUUAACUCAGAACGGCCAAGUGAUACUGCUGUGCUAGAGUGCGGAAGAGGCAACCGGAAUUCUUGGUGUAGCGGUGAAAUGCGUAGAUAUCAAGAGGAACACCUGAGGCGAAGGCGGGUUGCUGGGCCUGCACUGACGCUCAUGCACGAAAGCGUGGGGAGCAAACAGGAUUAGAUACCCCGGUAGUCCCUGUCUCUUAUAA